UGGCUCAGAUUGAACGCUGGCGGCAGGCUUAACACAUGCAAGUCGAGCGGGGAGAUGUAGCUUGCUACAUUACCUAGCGGCGGACGGGUGAGUAAUGCUUAGGAAUCUGCCUAUUAGUGGGGGACAACAUUCCGAAAGGAAUGCUAAUACCGCAUACGCCCUACGGGGGAAAGCAGGGGAUCUUCGGACCUUGCGCUAAUAGAUGAGCCUAAGUCAGAUUAGCUAGUUGGUGGGGUAAAGGCCUACCAAGGCGACGAUCUGUAGCGGGUCUGAGAGGAUGAUCCGCCACACUGGGACUGAGACACGGCCCAGACUCCUACGGGAGGCAGCAGUGGGGAAUAUUGGACAAUGGGCGAAAGCCUGAUCCAGCCAUGCCGCGUGUGUGAAGAAGGCCUUUUGGUUGUAAAGCACUUUAAGCGAGGAGGAGGCUACUUGGAUUAAUACUCUAGGAUAGUGGACGUACUCGCAGAA
RNAcentral lists this ribosomal RNA (471 nucleotides) under Acinetobacter sp. 'Disko Bay 55'. RNAcentral describes it as "bacterial SSU rRNA". It matches the Rfam family "Bacterial small subunit ribosomal RNA", at positions 20 to 486 of the family's 1533-position model. The record is from RNAcentral. Lineage: Bacteria; Pseudomonadati; Pseudomonadota; Gammaproteobacteria; Moraxellales; Moraxellaceae.